AUCACCGGAUGAAGCAACAUUCAC
This 24-nucleotide non-coding RNA is filed under the name Arabidopsis thaliana (thale cress). The record is from RNAcentral. Lineage: Eukaryota; Viridiplantae; Streptophyta; Magnoliopsida; Brassicales; Brassicaceae.